UUUAAAGCUAUACAAGAGGUAUAACAUGGAAUCAAUGAGGAUUCCUGCACAUUGCUUUGCAUUUGGUAAAAUAAGCCUCAAACAUAACCCAACACAGUAAAAGAAAAAUAAGCUGACUCAAACCAUUUUAAGCUUGUAAGAGUUGGAUCGGAUGAGGUCUCAUUAAGAGAGUGUGAUAAAAAGCAUAUAUAGUAACCCCUGAUGGAACUCUGAGGCUCCAGCAAAGAUGACAUUUAACAAAGGAAGCAAGCAUGCAAACCCAGGCGGUUCUGCUCAGAUUAAAAUAAAUGAUUUGCUCCAGGGAUAAAAAGUACAUAAAACUGGAUUAAGCCACUGACCUUCAUCCACCUUUGGAGAAGGCAGUUCUGGCAGUUCUUUAUUCUACUUUGCAGGCCAAACAUCAUGUGUCAUCACACACACUUGUUCCAGUUUAGCUCUGUGUGCGUGUUGCUUAGGUCAAAUAAGUGCUAUGGACCCUGCUGCUGCUGCUGCUGAAGUCAAGGGCAAAAAUGACAUUGAACUAAACGUUCUGAGCAAAUGGAAUCUGAUGCUAGAUUGUGCAGAAUAUGCAACAGCAUGGACUACAGGGAUGGACAUUGCUGUAGAGCAUUUUAUCCCUUCAGACCAUCAGCGAAGAGAAUUUUUAUGGGUCAAAUCCACCCAAAGGCUCUUAUCUUAUGGAUGCGCUGAUUCAGUGCACCUGAUCACUACAUACAAAUCUGAUCCUAGCACUGACCAGUUAAGUCUACAUGGCAGACAGAGGGAACUGUAGGGUUACAAGGCAGGUACCAUAAUCAAUAGAGGGUAAUACUGCAGAAAACCUCCUGCCCACAUUACUUUCUUUCUUAGGAGCAAAUGUUGAUUCAGAGAGAGUCAGUGUGUUUGCAAAAAAAUGGCAACAUCUCUCCUCAAGCUUUCCAU
Molecule: long non-coding RNA, 921 nt
Organism: Podarcis raffonei (Aeolian wall lizard)
Lineage: Eukaryota; Metazoa; Chordata; Lepidosauria; Squamata; Lacertidae
Exons: 2
Source: RefSeq, a predicted model, not a curated record